AGGAGGCAGCAGUGGGGAAUCUUGCACAAUGGGCGAAAGCCUGAUGCAGCCAUGCCGCGUGUGUGAAGAAGGCCUUCGGGUUGUAAAGCACUUUAAGCGGGGAGAAAAGGGUAGUCGCUAAUAACGGCUAUCUAUGAUGUUACCCGCAGAAUAAGCACCGGCAAACUUCGUGCCAGCAGCCGCGGUAAUACGAAGGGUGCAAGCGUUAAUCGGAAUUACUGGGCGUAAAGAGCACGUAGGCGGUUUGAUAAGCGGAAUGUGAAAUCCCCGGGCUUAACCUGGGAACUGCAUCCCGAACUGUCAGGCUAGAGUAUGAUAGAGGUGAGCGGAAUUUCCUGUGUAGCGGUGAAAUGCGUAGAUAUAGGAAGGAACAUCAGUUGCGAAGGCGGCUCACUGGAUCAAUACUGACGCUGAGGUGCGAAAGCGUGGGUAGCGAACAGGAUUAGAUACCCCGGU
Molecule: ribosomal RNA, 456 nt
Filed under: uncultured bacterium
Lineage: Bacteria
Description: bacterial SSU rRNA
Rfam family: Bacterial small subunit ribosomal RNA
Source: RNAcentral